UACGUAGGGUGCAAGCGUUGUCCGGAAUUACUGGGCGUAAAGAGUUCGUAGGCGGUUUGUCGCGUCGUUUGUGAAAACCAGCAGCUCAACUGCUGGCUUGCAGGCGAUACGGGCAGACUUGAGUACUGCAGGGGAGACUGGAAUUCCUGGUGUAGCGGUGAAAUGCGCAGAUAUCGGGAGGAACACCAGAGGCGAAGGCGGGUUACUGGGCUGAUACUGACGCUGAUGCGCGAAAGCCAGGGGGGCAAACGGG
This 253-nucleotide ribosomal RNA is filed under the name uncultured bacterium. Its description in RNAcentral is "partial 16S ribosomal RNA". It matches the Rfam family "Bacterial small subunit ribosomal RNA", at positions 524 to 776 of the family's 1533-position model. The record is from RNAcentral.